GAGGUAUUGGAGCUUGCUGGGAAUGCAGCGAGAGAUAACAAAAAGAACCGCAUUGUGCCGAGGCACAUUCAGCUUGCAGUAAGGAACGAUGAGGAGCUGAGCAAGCUUCUAGGCUCUGUAACAAUUGCCAAUGGUGGUGUACUGCCUAACAUUCAUCAGACUCUUCUUCCCAAGAAGAUUGGCAAGGGCAAAGGUGAUAUUGGAUCUGCUUCUCAGGAGUUCUAGGCCUUUUCCUUUGUCUCGGAUUGUUUUGCUUAUGGAUUCUACAGUUGUAAAAUAUUCUUUUUUGGUUUUUCUACUUGGAAUACAGUGGUAUUUUUUGA
This 323-nucleotide unclassified non-coding RNA is filed under the name Hevea brasiliensis (rubber tree). Lineage: Eukaryota; Viridiplantae; Streptophyta; Magnoliopsida; Malpighiales; Euphorbiaceae. The record is from RNAcentral.